This 378-nucleotide ribosomal RNA is filed under the name uncultured bacterium. RNAcentral's name for it is "bacterial SSU rRNA". It matches the Rfam family "Bacterial small subunit ribosomal RNA", at positions 521 to 896 of the family's 1533-position model. The record is from RNAcentral.
UAAUACGGGGGGAGCAAGCGUUGUCCGGAUUCAUUGGGCGUAAAGGGCGUGUAGGUGGAUCUGUAAGUGAGAGGUGAAAGCCCGGGGCUUAACUCCGGAACGGCCUUUCAUACUGCAGGUCUCGAGUGCGAGAGGGGGAGAUGGAAUUCCUGGUGUAGCGGUGGAAGGCGUAGAUAUCAGGAGGAACACCGGUGGCGAAGGCGAUCUCCUGGCUCGCAACUGACACUAAGGCGCGAAAGCGUGGGGAGCAAACAGGAUUAGAUACCCUGGUAGUCCACGCUGUAAACGAUGGGCACUAGGUGUUGGAGGAGUUCGACCCCUUCAGUGCCGUAGCUAACGCGUUAAGUGCCCCGCCUGGGGAGUACGAUCGCAAGGUUG